This 467-nucleotide ribosomal RNA is filed under the name uncultured bacterium. RNAcentral's name for it is "partial 16S ribosomal RNA". It matches the Rfam family "Bacterial small subunit ribosomal RNA", at positions 28 to 507 of the family's 1533-position model. The record is from RNAcentral.
GAUGAACGCUGGCGGCGUGCUUAACACAUGCAAGUCGAACGGAAAGGCCCAAGCUUGCUUGGGUACUCGAGUGGCGAACGGGUGAGUAACACGUGGGUGAUCUGCCCUGCACUUCGGGAUAAGCCUGGGAAACUGGGUCUAAUACCGGAUAGGACCACUUCUUGGAUGUUGUGGUGGAAAGUUUUUUCGGUGUGGGAUGAGCUCGCGGCCUAUCAGCUUGUUGGUGGGGUAAUGGCCUACCAAGGCGUCGACGGGUAGCCGGCCUGAGAGGGUGUACGGCCACAUUGGGACUGAGAUACGGCCCAGACUCCUACGGGAGACAGCAGUGGGGAAUAUUGCACAAUGGGCGCAAGCCUGAUGCAGCGACGCCGCGUGGGGGAUGACGGCCUUCGGGUUGUAAACUCCUUUCGCUAGGGACGAAGCGUUUUGUGACGGUACCUGGAGAAGAAGCACCGGCUAACUACGUG